RNAcentral lists this ribosomal RNA (590 nucleotides) under Tetracapsuloides sp. 3 PBS-2014. Its description in RNAcentral is "SSU rRNA". It matches the Rfam family "Eukaryotic small subunit ribosomal RNA", at positions 871 to 1490 of the family's 1831-position model. Lineage: Eukaryota; Metazoa; Cnidaria; Myxozoa; Malacovalvulida; Saccosporidae. The record is from RNAcentral.
AAAAGAGACAUUUGGGGGCAUAAGAACUCGGCCGCGAGAGGUGAAAUUCUAAGACCGGCCGGGGUCUAACAAGAGCGAAAGCAUUUGCCAAGAAUGUUUUCAUUGAUCAAGAACGAAAGUUGGAGGAGCGAAAACGAUCAGAUACCGUUGUAGUUCCAACUUUAAACUAUGCCGACUGUCGGGGCCGGUUCGGUACAUCCGUACUAAUUGACCUCCCAGGGAAACCCUAGCAGGGUUCUGGGGGGAGUACGGUCGCAAGUCUGAAACUUAAAGGAAUUGACGGAAGGGCACCACCAGGAGUGGAGCCUGCGGCUUAAUUUGACUCAACGCGGGGAAACUUUCCCGGUCCGGACAUCGGAAGGAUUGACAGACUAAUCGCUCUUUCAUGAUACGGUGGGGAGUGGUGCAUGGCCGUUCAUAGUUGGUGGAGCGAUUUGUCUGGUUAAUUCUGUUAACGUACGAGAUUUUACCCUUUAUUUAGUAGAUUUAAUUGGGGUUUAAAUCAACUAUUUAAAGGGACUAACGAUAUUUAAAAUCGUUGGAUGAAAAACAAUAACAGGUCUGUUAUGCCCUUAGAUGUCCGGGGCCGC